AGAGUUUGAUCCUGGCUCAGGACGAACGCUGGCGGCGUGCCUAAUACAUGCAAGUAGAACGCUGAAGAGAGGAGCUUGCUCUUCUUGGAUGAGUUGCGAACGGGUGAGUAACGCGUAGGUAACCUGCCUUGUAGCGGGGGAUAACUAUUGGAAACGAUAGCUAAUACCGCAUAACAAUGGAUGACACAUGUCAUUUAUUUGAAAGGGGCAAUUGCUCCACUACAAGAUGGACCUGCGUUGUAUUAGCUAGUAGGUGAGGUAACGGCUCACCUAGGCGACGAUACAUAGCCGACCUGAGAGGGUGAUCGGCCACACUGGGACUGAGACACGGCCCAGACUCCUACGGGAGGCAGCAGUAGGGAAUCUUCGGCAAUGGGGGCAACCCUGACCGAGCAACGCCGCGUGAGUGAAGAAGGUUUUCGGAUCGUAAAGCUCUGUUGUAAGUCAAGAACGAGUGUGAGAGUGGAAAGUUCACACUGUGACGGUAGCUUACCAGAAAGGGACGGCUAACUACGUGCCAGCAGCCGCGGUAAUACGUAGGCCCCGAGCGUUGUCCGGAUUUAUUGGGCGUAAAGCGAGCGCAGGCGGUUUGAUAAGUCUGAAGUUAAAGGCUGUGGCUCAACCAUAGUUCGCUUUGGAAACUGUCAAACUUGAGUGCAGAAGGGGAGAGUGGAAUUCCAUGUGUAGCGGUGAAAUGCGUAGAUAUAUGGAGGAACACCGGUGGCGAAAGCGGCUCUCUGGUCUGUAACUGACGCUGAGGCUCGAAAGCGUGGGGAGCGAUACAGGAUUAGAUACCCUGGUAGUCCACGCCGUAAA
RNAcentral lists this ribosomal RNA (816 nucleotides) under uncultured bacterium. Its description in RNAcentral is "bacterial SSU rRNA". It matches the Rfam family "Bacterial small subunit ribosomal RNA", at positions 8 to 806 of the family's 1533-position model. The record is from RNAcentral.